AUUGAACGCUGGCGGCAGGCCUAACACAUGCAAGUCGAACGAGUGGCGGACGGGUGAGUAAUGCCUGGGCAACUGCCCGAUGGAGGGGGGUAACUACUGGAAACGGUAGCUAAUACCGCAUACCCUCGGAUGUGCCCAGAUGGGAUUAGCUAGUGGGGGGGGUAACGGCUCCCCGAGGCGACGAUCCCUAGCUGGGCUGAGAGGAUGACCGGCCACACUGGAACGGAGACACGGUCCAGACUCCUACGGGAGGAAGCAGGGGGGAUGUUUGCACAAUGGGCGCAAGCCGGAUGCAGCCAUGCCGCGUGUAUGAAGAAGGCCUUGGGGUUGUAAAGUACGUUCAGCGGGGAGGCGUUACUCGCAGAAGAAGCACCGGCUAACUCCGUGCCAGCCGCCGCGGUAAUAC
Molecule: ribosomal RNA, 406 nt
Filed under: uncultured bacterium
Lineage: Bacteria
Description: partial 16S ribosomal RNA
Rfam family: Bacterial small subunit ribosomal RNA
Source: RNAcentral